GCCAUGCUAGUCGCACGAAUUUAGAUUCGUGGCAUAUAGCUCAGUAACACGUGGCCAAAUUACCCUACAGACCGCGAUAACCUCGGGAAACUGAGGCCAAUAGCGGAUAUCACUCUCACGCUGGAGUGCCGAGAGUGAGAAACGUUCCGGCGCUGUAGGAUGUGGCUGCGGCCGAUUAGGUAGAUGGUGGGGUAACGGCCCACCAUGCCGAUAAUCGGUACAGGUUGUGAGAGCAAGAGCCUGGAGACGGUAUCUGAGACAAGAUACCGGGCCCUACGGGGCGCAGCAGGCGCGAAACCUUUACACUGCACGACAGUGCGAUAGGGGGACUCCGAGUGUGAGGGCAUAUAGCCCUCGCUUUUCUGUACCGUAAGGUGGUACAGGAACAAGGACUGGGCAAGACCGGUGCCAGCCGCCGCGGUAAUACCGGCAGUCCAAGUGAUGGCCGAUAUUAUUGGGCCUAAAGCGUCCGUAGCUUGCUGUGUAAGUCCAUUGGGAAAUCGACCAGCUCAACUGGUCGGCGUCCGGUGGAAACUACACAGCUUGGGGCCGAAAGACUCAACGGGUACGUCCGGGGUAGGAGUGAAAUCCUGUAAUCCUGGACGGACCACCAAUGGGGAAACCACSUUGAGAGACCGGACCCGACAGUGAGGGACGAAAGCCAGGGUCUCGAACCGGAUUAGAUACCCGGGUAGUCCUGGCUGUAAACAAUGCUCGCUAGGUAUGCCACNCGCCANGAGCACGUGAUGUGCCGUAGUGAAGACGAUAAGCGAGCCGCCUGGGAAGUACGUCCGCAAGGAUAAACUUAAAGGAAUUGGCGGGAGCCCACACCGAG
RNAcentral lists this ribosomal RNA (835 nucleotides) under Haloarcula sp. RBCA-10^2. RNAcentral's name for it is "bacterial SSU rRNA". It matches the Rfam family "Archaeal small subunit ribosomal RNA", at positions 48 to 885 of the family's 1478-position model. The record is from RNAcentral. Lineage: Archaea; Methanobacteriati; Methanobacteriota; Halobacteria; Halobacteriales; Haloarculaceae.